AUGGGGAAUUGCCAGGCAGCGGAGGUGGCCACGGUGGUGAUCCAGCACCCCGGCGGGCGGGUGGAGCGGCUUUACUGGCCGACGAGCGCGGCGGAUGUCAUGAAGAGCAACCCGGGCUACCACGUCGCCCUCGUCACCCUCUACGUCUCGGAGACGAAGACGGACGGCGGCGGCGGCGGUGCCGGCACCGUGCGGUUCACCCGCGUGCGGCUGCUCAAGCCCAGGGACAUGCUCCUGCUCGGCCAAGUUUACCGGCUCAUCACCUCCCAAGAAGUUGCAAAGGCUCUGAGGCAAAGGAAGUAUGAGAAGCUCAAGAAAAACCAGGCUGAAUCGAUCAGAAAACAGCAACAGCAGCAGCAGCAUGGAACAAACGAUCAGUGUGCAGAUCCUGCUCGACAGGAAAAAGAGGAGGAUUCAGAUGCCACACAUCAGGCAACAAAUCAGGAGAGGGAUCGGCAAAAGAGCAGAACGCAGGUGGCGGCAAGAGGCCGCCAUUGGCGUCCUUCGCUUCAGAGCAUCUCAGAAGCUGGGAGCUAAUUGCGCAACCAUCGCGAGCUGCUUUCACAACGCAUAGACCCAAGUCUUGACGGAAUUCACACACAGGUCUCGGGCAUGAUAGUUAUGGAAAGAAGCAUUCCAUCAAAGAAAGAGUUGAGAUUCGGGUUGCUAUUGCUGGAGAAAAAUCUGAACAGGGAGAACAGACAGGAGAUGCAGAGUCUUGGCUUAUGAAACAUGAUGGAGUUGAACUACCUUUGUUCUGAGUUACUGUGAUGUCUUGAACCCACUCAAAUUGUACGAUGGCAGUCACUUGGAUAUCUGGUGACCCAAUAAACGAUAUGAACGUACCGUGGUCAACGAGGUUGCUGGGCAGUCCACAUCUUCCAGCCCUGCUCGACAUGGAGAAGCCCCUGCGGCUGCUGCUACAAGAUCUCCAGGAAGUUUCCUCUCCCUUGGUGCAAAGUAGUACGUCAGCUUCCACCAAGUAGUGUCUUAGGGCGAAGUUGCCCAAGCACCAAAGGAUGCUGGAUCAUUUGGCAGGUUUGCGAUCUGUAUGAUCAAUCUUACCACAAAGUGAUAUGAUCAUAUCGAAGAAGAAGUGCAUGACGAGCAGCAUAAUCUGAAGGACAUACACAUACCUUUUCUGGACAAUAUAGCUUCGUAUAAUAUUCUCCUGAUAGAUCCACUGGAACACUCCUCGAUUGGUUUUACCGGUGUAAGGCUACUGAAAUCAAUGUAAAGCAAGUUUCUACAUCA
RNA transcript from Musa acuminata AAA Group (dessert banana), 1254 nucleotides. RefSeq lists it as uncharacterized. NCBI's taxonomy places the organism in Eukaryota, Viridiplantae, Streptophyta, Magnoliopsida, Zingiberales, Musaceae. The record is from RefSeq and is a predicted model, not a curated record. The transcript has 4 exons.